AAUAUACUAUGGGUUUAUCGUUAUUAUAUCCCUAAACGCUCCUCCCUUCUUUUUUCUCAUCGGAAUCCUAAAGAACCUUAUCUGUGCGGCCAUGGCAACCUCAGCUACUUCACUCCAUUUUCUCUCUCUAACCCCUCAAUCGCUUUCUUUUUCAAAACCCAAUGCCAUACCCGCCGCUUCUUUAUCUCUUUUCUCUCUCCCGUCAUCUUCUCGUGCUCUAAAACUAUCUUCUUCUUCUUCGCCUUUUACAUUUUCAGUUAGACACUUUGAUUCCACAUUCGCGUCACGCUUCGUCAGAGGCGUCACGCUUUCGUCAGAAUUCGACCAGAUUGAAGAAGUGGAAGACGAGGACGAGGGAGUUCCCAGCGAUGGCGGUUCCUCGUACCCGGACGAACCCCGUUUCUCUCCUGAGCUCAAGCUCUUCGUGGGCAAUUUGCCGUACAAUAUCGACAGCGCUGCUCUUGCUGGGCUGUUUCAACAAGCUGGAAAUGUUGAGAUGGUCGAGGUUAUAUAUGACAAACAGACAGGAAGAAGCAGAGGGUUUGGCUUUGUGACAAUGUCAACUGUGGAGGAAGUUGAAUUAGCCGCUCAACAAUUCAAUGGAUAUGAACUUGACGGGAGGGCAUUGAAGGUCAAUUCUGGGCCACCUCCACCUAGGAGGGAAAAUUCCACGUUUGGUGGUGCAAGGGGUGGUAGAAGUUUCGACAACGCCAACCGAGGCCACAAACUCCAUGUGGGAAACCUUGCUUGGGGUGUUGAUGAUCAGGCGCUUGAAACCUUAUUCAGUGAGCAAGGAAAGGUGUUGGAAGCAAGAGUGGUGUACGACCGAGAGAGUGGAAGGUCGAGGGGAUUUGGAUUUGUAACUUACGGUUCUGCUGAGGAGGCCAACAAUGCUAUUAAAAUGUUGGAUGGCGUUAACCUAAUUGGUAGGCAAAUCGGUGUAAGUCUUGCUGAAUCAAGACCUCCAAGGCGCCAGUUCUGAGAUUGCUAACCAUGCCUGAUAUCAAGUAUUCAAGUGAGCGGGAACCCAGGGUUGGACGAGAGAUGCGGAUGACCCAACAAUGCAGCAAUGCUCAUGAAGGGCUUGAUUUUGCAGAGCUGCUACGUAGCUACACCGUAUGUAUUUGAAAGCCCUCUCUAUGUAUUUCUGUCACAAUGUAUGCCUGUAAAAAUGGCAAUGCAACUUGUAACCUGCCACCUAUUGCUUGUGGUGGAUUAAGAGAGAACUAAAUUCUUGGAUCAAUGGGCUCUUUUUCUAGGUGGUAAUGUGGUAUUGUGGUGUGAACCCCUUAGUCUUCAAAAUUUUGUUUACUUGUCACCA
Molecule: RNA transcript, 1321 nt
Organism: Ipomoea nil (Japanese morning glory)
Lineage: Eukaryota; Viridiplantae; Streptophyta; Magnoliopsida; Solanales; Convolvulaceae
Gene name: 29 kDa ribonucleoprotein A, chloroplastic-like
Exons: 5
Source: RefSeq, a predicted model, not a curated record